Long non-coding RNA from Maniola jurtina (meadow brown), 168 nucleotides. RefSeq lists it as uncharacterized. The transcript is spliced from 3 exons. NCBI's taxonomy places the organism in Eukaryota, Metazoa, Arthropoda, Insecta, Lepidoptera, Nymphalidae. The record is from RefSeq and is a predicted model, not a curated record.
AUUUAUUUAAAUUUGAUCUGUUACAUAAUAGAAAAAGAGCCUGUGAGGGUCAGACCUUAGUUAUUUUAUAAAAGCUGAAAGUUUCUCUGCGCAUUGUUCCCAACACAGGGAGGAACAAUCAGCGACGAAGAAUUUUGGAUCAUGGAGGCUUUGGCAGAUAACAGGUGA